This is a long non-coding RNA of Micropterus salmoides (largemouth bass), 730 nucleotides long. RefSeq lists it as uncharacterized. The transcript has 3 exons. The record is from RefSeq and is a predicted model, not a curated record. NCBI's taxonomy places the organism in Eukaryota, Metazoa, Chordata, Actinopteri, Centrarchiformes, Centrarchidae.
GAAUGGUGUAGAGACGGGAAAAGAAAAGGAGGAGAGCGGCAUGGCAGACCACAGAAAGUAAUGGUGAGGCAGACACCAGGAAGAAGCAGAAAGACAAAGGACACGCGCCAGUGAAAUUGAAAUUAACAAAGUUUGCUGGUAUCAGAAAAGAACAUCACACCUGUGUGUGGCGGUUUAACUACCUGUCCCCCUUGAAAUGCCGUUGCACGGUGACAGAUGAAUACAUGGAGAGAUGAACAGGAACACCCCCAGGUUCUCCUUACUUCUGCCGUAAAUAAGACUGCCCCCCCUGAGGAGGAAAUCUUGGCACGCUGACAGAAAUAUUCUGAACUUCCUGUGAACCUAGGAACUAGAGGAAACACACUGGACCCUUGUAAGCCCCUGCUCUCUUCUCUCAGGCCAUGCUCUUUCCUUCAACUCCCCAGACCUGCCAUCCUCAAGCUGUCCACUAGAUGCCCUCAGACUUUCCCGUCUUUCCCCAUCACCUGACUGCCCCACCCAUCUACACACCUGUUCCCACUUCUCUCAUCAGCCCUGCGGUUACCUGGCCUACUCCGCCCGUUCCUCACCUUCAACUCACUCCCUAAUCAGCCACUCACCAUUUAUACUAGUUCACUUAGUUUGUUCCUUGCCAGGUCAUUCCUAGUUACCAUGUUGGUUUGUUUUCAUUUUAGUUUACCUGUUACCCGAUCCUGUAUGUACCUAGCUUUGUGCCUGCCUGUAAACUAAA